RNAcentral lists this ribosomal RNA (338 nucleotides) under uncultured Pseudomonadota bacterium. RNAcentral describes it as "bacterial SSU rRNA". It matches the Rfam family "Bacterial small subunit ribosomal RNA", at positions 30 to 351 of the family's 1533-position model. Lineage: Bacteria; Pseudomonadati; Pseudomonadota. The record is from RNAcentral.
AUUGAACGCUGGCGGUAUGCUUAACACAUGCAAGUCGAACGGUAGCAGGCCUUCGGGCGCUGACGAGUGGCGCACGGGUGAGUAACGCGUGGAUAACCUGCCCUGGUAUCUGGGAUAACAUCUCGAAAGGGGUGCUAAUACCGGAUAAGCCUCCGGGAUCUUCGGAUUCUGCAGGAAAAGAAGGCCUCUAUUUAUAAGCUUUCGUAUCAGGAUGGGUCCGCGUACCAUUAGCUAGUUGGUGGGGUAAUGGCCUACCAAGGCGACGAUGGUUAGCUGGUCUGAGAGGAUGAUCAGCCACACUGGAACUGAGACACGGUCCAGACUCCUACGGGAGGCUG